AUCCAUCUGACGAGUCCUAAAUAGGAUGAAACGUGCAUCAUGGAU
Schistosoma margrebowiei is the source of this 45-nucleotide non-coding RNA. NCBI's taxonomy places the organism in Eukaryota, Metazoa, Platyhelminthes, Trematoda, Strigeidida, Schistosomatidae. The record is from Rfam.